GGUUUGUAUCUAAAAAACGUAUCCAGAAAAUGUAAAAACAAAGUCCUAAUGGUUUCUACGUGUGCAGGGACGAAAGGCAAAAUCUGUAGAAAAAUAGUUGUGUAGUGGUCUACGAACCCCAUCGACGGUCCGUUGGUCCAUUGACGUACCGUGAAUGGCGUCCGUAGACCCCUAGUAAGUUUUAUAAAUUUUCCAAGUGUCAGAGUGACCUAUUGUCCGUAGGUCGACCCACGGACCAUCGAUGGGGUCUUGUGGAUAAAAAAUUAGGGUUUGCCUGACCCGACCCGGACCCCUUUUUAAAUAAAACCCCUUUAUUUUUAAAACACCCCCAACGUCCAAAUC
RNAcentral lists this long non-coding RNA (342 nucleotides) under Solanum tuberosum (potato). RNAcentral's name for it is "long non-coding RNA (STUB_LNC000071)". The record is from RNAcentral. Lineage: Eukaryota; Viridiplantae; Streptophyta; Magnoliopsida; Solanales; Solanaceae.